CACCGCCUGGGGAGUACGACCGCAAGGUUAAAACUCAAAUGAAUUGACGGGGACCCGCACAAGUAGUGGAGCAUGUGGUUUAAUUCGAAGAUACGCGCAGAACCUUACCAACACUUGACAUGUUCGUCGCGACUUUAAGAGAUUAAAGUUUUCGGUUCGGCCGGACGAAACACAGGUGCUGCAUGGCUGUCGUCAGCUCGUGUCGUGAGAUGUUGGGUUAAGUCCCGCAACGAGCGCAACCCUCACUUUUAGUUGCCAUCAUUUAGUUGGGCACUCUGAAAGAACUGCCAGUGAUAAGCUGGAGGAAGGUGGGGAUGACGUCAAGUCCUCAUGGCCCUUACGUGUUGGGCUACACACGUGCUACAAUGGUAUCUACAACAGGAAGCAAAACAGCGAUGUUAAGCAAAUCCUUAAAAGAUACCUCAGUUCGGAUUGCACUCUGCAACUCGAGUGCAUGAAGCUGGAAUUACUAGUAAUCGUGGAUCAGCGUGCCACGGUGAAUGCGUUCCCGGGUCUUGUACACACCGCCCGUCACACCAUGGGAGUUGGUUCUACCUUAAGGUUAAGGCAUAAAACCCUUGACCACGGUAUAGUCAGCGACUGGGGUGAAGUCGUAACAAGGUAGCCGUAGGGGAACCUGCGGCUGGAUUACCUCCUUUCUAAGGAUGAAUGAAAUUUAAAUUUCAUUCUAAAUAAUAUACAUAGGUUAUGUUGACCGUCCUCAUUUCUCUUCUUAAAAGUUAGUGUUUCUCUUGCAUGGGGGCCGGUAGCUCAGUUGGUUAGAGCACACCCUUGAUAAGGGUGGGGUCGAAAGUUCGAGUCUUUCUCGGCCCAACAAAAUAAGAUUGAGGGGGAUUAGCUCAGCUGGGAGAGCGCCUGAUUUGCAUUCAGGAGGUCAGCGGUUCGAUCCCGCUAUCCUCCACCAAACACUUAGUUAUAAGAAUUGUGAAUAAAAAAUAAUAAUUAAUAUCAAUAUCUAUAUCCGAACAUUAGUAAUGUUAUUAGCUAGUGUUCAAAAUAAAAAUUUGAUUCAACACAGAAUUUUUUUCUG
This 1051-nucleotide small RNA is filed under the name uncultured Pelagibacterales bacterium. Its description in RNAcentral is "bacterial SSU rRNA". The stretch from base 1 to 659 matches the Rfam family "Bacterial small subunit ribosomal RNA", at positions 867 to 1533 of the family's 1533-position model. Lineage: Bacteria; Pseudomonadati; Pseudomonadota; Alphaproteobacteria; Candidatus Pelagibacterales. The record is from RNAcentral.